This 429-nucleotide ribosomal RNA is filed under the name Pseudomonadota bacterium. RNAcentral's name for it is "Proteobacteria bacterium partial 16S ribosomal RNA". It matches the Rfam family "Bacterial small subunit ribosomal RNA", at positions 355 to 776 of the family's 1533-position model. The record is from RNAcentral. Lineage: Bacteria; Pseudomonadati; Pseudomonadota.
UGGGGAAUAUUGGACAAUGGGCGAAAGCCUGAUCCAGCCAUGUCGCGUGUGUGAAGAAGGUCUUCGGAUUGUAAAGCACUUUAAGUUGGGAGGAAGGGCAGUAAGCGAGUACCUUGCUGUUUUGACGUUACCGACAGAAUAAGCACCGGCUAACUCUGUGCCAGCAGCCGCGGUAAUACAGAGGGUGCAAGCGUUAAUCGGAAUUACUGGGCGUAAAGCGCGCGUAGGUGGUUCGUUAAGUUGAAUGUGAAAGCCCCGGGCUCAACCUGGGAACUGCAUCCGAAACUGGCGAGCUAGAGUAGGGCAGAGGGUGGUGGAAUUUCCUGUGUAGCGGUGAAAUGCGUAGAUAUAGGAAGGAACACCAGUGGCGAAGGCGACCACCUGGGCUCAUACUGACACUGAGGUGCGAAAGCGUGGGGAGCAAACAGG